GUUUAAGAUAACCGAUCUGUGCAACUAUUAUCAUAACUCAUAAAGCCAUACUAUCUUUUCUAUGGGUAAUUUGCAUAAAAUAAACUCCAUGUUAUAAUAUAGGUAUGAUAUCAACAGGUGCAAUUCUGUCUCAGAUUGCGCAAAUCUGGCGCUGGUCUUUCAUCGUUUCUGAUUGGUUUAUAAUUUGUUUUGUGUAUUUUAGUCACGACACGUUCUUUU
Cinara cedri is the source of this 219-nucleotide non-coding RNA. Lineage: Eukaryota; Metazoa; Arthropoda; Insecta; Hemiptera; Aphididae. The record is from the annotation of a GenBank genome assembly.